Molecule: small nuclear RNA, 121 nt
Filed under: Canis lupus familiaris (dog)
Lineage: Eukaryota; Metazoa; Chordata; Mammalia; Carnivora; Canidae
Also listed under: 1 other name
Source: RNAcentral
GUGCUUACUUCGGCAGCACAUACACUAAAAUUGGAAUGAUACAAAAAAAAAAAAGAUACAGAAAUUAGCGUGGCCCCUGCACAAGGAUGAUAUGCAAAUUCAUAAAGCGUUCCAUAAAAAU